RNAcentral lists this long non-coding RNA (444 nucleotides) under Ananas comosus (pineapple). Its description in RNAcentral is "long non-coding RNA (ACOM_LNC010868)". Lineage: Eukaryota; Viridiplantae; Streptophyta; Magnoliopsida; Poales; Bromeliaceae. The record is from RNAcentral.
GUAGAGCUACUGUACCCUUAUAAGUGUAAUAAUCUUUUUUAUAUUGAUAAGUUUUCAACCAUUGAAUGAAGAUAUGUACGGUUAAGAUGAUAGUGGUCUCCGGCUGGGAUAAUAGUGGUCCCGUAUGGUUGAGUCGAUGGUUGGUUGAAUAGUCUGAUCUAACAGGUGGAUGAUACUGGUCCCCUAGGUUGAGUGAGUGGUUGGUUGAAUAGUAUAAUCUAACGAGUGAAAAUGAUCAAAUGAGUAGAUCUAACGGUCGAAAAUUUAUAAUUAUAAAGGAACUUAUACUUAUAAAAAUAUAAUAGCCGGACUCAAUAUAAUAAUAUACUAAUAAAUAGCAUAGAUGGAUAAAAUUUUACAUCUUAUUUUAUUUUUUCAAACUAAUUUCAUUAUAUUUUAUUUUUUAAUAUUAAAACUUUAAAAGACUUAUUUAAAACAUUCCAA